AUAAAUGCUAUGAUAGGAAAGAGUAUACAAAAUAUGUUUUACAGAGAGUGGGAUUAGCUGAAAACCCAUAAACUAAACUUGUAGAAAAUCAUCCUAGAGCUGCAGGCUGAAGAAUUAGUAGUAAGCUGAGCCGGUUUAAUGCCGUUAAAUUAUUGAGUUAAAAACUUGGGUGGUACCGCGGACCUAUUUUCGCCCCAUAU
Molecule: non-coding RNA, 200 nt
Filed under: Clostridium magnum
Lineage: Bacteria; Bacillati; Bacillota; Clostridia; Eubacteriales; Clostridiaceae
Description: T-box sequence
Rfam family: T-box leader
About the family: Uncharged tRNA acts as the effector for transcription antitermination of genes in the T-box leader family. T-boxes are found upstream of many aminoacyl-tRNA synthetase genes and some amino acid biosynthetic genes usually in Gram-positive bacteria.
Source: RNAcentral